RNAcentral lists this ribosomal RNA (394 nucleotides) under uncultured bacterium. Its description in RNAcentral is "partial 16S ribosomal RNA". It matches the Rfam family "Bacterial small subunit ribosomal RNA", at positions 523 to 918 of the family's 1533-position model. The record is from RNAcentral.
CUACGUAGGGAGCGAGCGUUGUCCGGAAUUACUGGGCGUAAAGGGCGCGUAGGCGGCGCUUCAAGUCGUCUGUCAAAUGGGAGGGCUUAACCCUUUUUCGCAGACGAAACUGGAGAGCUUGAGAAGCAGAGAGGCAAACAGAAUUCCUGGUGUAGCGGUGAAAUGCGUAGAUAUCAGGAAGAAUACCAGUGGCGAAGGCGGUUUGCUGGCUGCAUACUGACGCUGAAGCGCGAAAGCCAGGGGAGCAAACGGGAUUAGAUACCCCGGUAGUCCUGGCAGUAAACGAUGUAUGCUGGGUGUGAGACUAGCGAUAGUUUCGUGCCGAAGUUAACGCGAUAAGCAUACCGCCUGGGGAGUACGGUCGCAAGAUUGAAACUCAAAUGAAUUGACGGGG